Molecule: ribosomal RNA, 253 nt
Filed under: uncultured bacterium
Lineage: Bacteria
Description: partial 16S ribosomal RNA
Rfam family: Bacterial small subunit ribosomal RNA
Source: RNAcentral
UACGUAGGGACCGAGCGUUGUCCGGAAUCAUUGGGCGCAAAGAGCGUGUAGGCGGCUAUUUAAGUCCUGCGUGAAAUCCUGCGGCUCAACCGCAGACGGUCGUGGGAAACUGGAUGGCUAGAGUGCGGGAGAGGAGAGUGGAAUUCCCGGUGUAGCGGUGAAAUGCGCAGAUAUCGGGAAGAACACCCGUGGCGAAGGCGGCUCUCUGGAACGCAACUGACGCUGAGACGCGAAAGCGUGGGGAGCGAACAGG